ACGUUACUGCUGGCGAAGUAGCGGAGUCCCUCCUGGUCCAUAGAGAUGCUAUCCAAACCGUCCGUGAACAUCCUGAUUGGGUUGCCUACAUCGCAUGACUCGAAUUCCUCCUUGCUCUUCACUUCAGCUAUGUACCCAUGCGCUGCAGAGUAGGCUAACCCUGCCCAUCCAUAAAAGUCCCCACACAAACAAAAGAGUCUUGUGAGUUGUUGUGAACUUGUGAAUGAAUGAACAACUGUGUUGAAAAUGACUUUCUUCUUUCACCAAAAAAAGAAAAUGACAUUCUUUCCACUUUACUCUCUCGAUUUUCUCGGAAACCAAACAAAUGGCUUGGUUAAAAGAUGCCAACAAAACGAAAGCAAAGCAUAAAUAACAAAAUUUUAAGCUCUAGAGGGAGAGAGAGAGAGAGAGAGAGAGAGAGAAAGAGAGAAGGAAGACUCACAGAUGUUGUCUCCGACCCUGAAAGUUUUGUUGGAGGACCAAGAAGCGAGGUCGGAAGAAGGGUCCCAGCCACGGUCUCCUCCAACGACAUGGUGCAGUUGGGCUCCAACCCCACAAAUCCCUCCAAGGCUCACAGUGGCCAAAACCACAAUCGCCACCACCACCUUCAAACCAUAUUCUCCAGCCAUUAUACUCAAGUCUCUCUUUCUCUCUCUCAACCCAAAGAGGUAGCUUAGCGUUGCUUUUAUCUCUCUUUUCCUGACCAAAAAGUAAACGCUAAACAGUAGGGACUGGUACAGCAAGAGAGAGAGAGAGAGAUAAGGAGAGUGAUAAAGUGAAGGGCAAGUAAAGGCGCCUUCUUUCGGUUUUUAGCGGUAGCUAGCUAGCUCUCGUCAUCUCAUCUCACUAAAACUUGCGAAUAUUAACUUUCCACGCAACUUCCCUUCUCCCCCGUUCUUAAAAGGACACCCCCAACACACAUACAAUACAACCAAUGGACAUGGAGGACACUCAAGACUGAAGGACCGGUGGUUGGUCACAUUCGCAUCGCAUCCAUGACUGAAAGACCGUUUGUUUGUUCGCUUCUCUUCUACCCUAUAGGGCCCUCCCUCUCUACCACCGGACCACUCUUCCACUGCG
RNAcentral lists this long non-coding RNA (1080 nucleotides) under Prunus persica (peach). Its description in RNAcentral is "long non-coding RNA (PPER_LNC003950)". The record is from RNAcentral. Lineage: Eukaryota; Viridiplantae; Streptophyta; Magnoliopsida; Rosales; Rosaceae.